RNAcentral lists this transfer RNA (75 nucleotides) under Cordylochernes scorpioides. RNAcentral describes it as "tRNA-Thr". Lineage: Eukaryota; Metazoa; Arthropoda; Arachnida; Pseudoscorpiones; Chernetidae. The record is from RNAcentral.
UGUCAAGGGAUGGGAUUCGAACCCACGACCUUCCGCUUACCGGGCAGAUGCCAUGACCACUAGGCUACCCUGGAC